This 492-nucleotide ribosomal RNA is filed under the name uncultured bacterium. Its description in RNAcentral is "partial 16S ribosomal RNA". It matches the Rfam family "Bacterial small subunit ribosomal RNA", at positions 29 to 507 of the family's 1533-position model. The record is from RNAcentral.
AGUGAACGCUGGCGGUAGGCCUAACACAUGCAAGUCGAACGGCAGCACAGUAAGAGCUUGCUCUUACGGGUGGCGAGUGGCGGACGGGUGAGGAAUACAUCGGAAUCUACUUUUUCGUGGGGGAUAACGUAGGGAAACUUACGCUAAUACCGCAUACGACCUACGGGUGAAAGCAGGGGAUCUUCGGACCUUGCGCGAUUGAAUGAGCCGAUGUCGGAUUAGCUAGUUGGCGGGGUAAAGGCCCACCAAGGCGACGAUCCGUAGCUGGUCUGAGAGGAUGAUCAGCCACACUGGAACUGAGACACGGUCCAGACUCAUACGGGAGGCAGCAGUGGGGAUUAGUGGACAAUGGGCGCAAGCCUGAUCCAGCCAUACCGCGUAGAUGAAGAAGGCCUUCGGGUUGUAAAGCCCUUUUGUUGGGAAAGAAAUCCAGCCGGCUAAUACCUGGUUGGGAUGACGGUACCCAAAGAAUAAGCACCGGCUAACUUCGUG